RNAcentral lists this ribosomal RNA (484 nucleotides) under uncultured bacterium. RNAcentral's name for it is "partial 16S ribosomal RNA". It matches the Rfam family "Bacterial small subunit ribosomal RNA", at positions 30 to 507 of the family's 1533-position model. The record is from RNAcentral.
AUUGAACGCUGGCGGAAUGCUUUACACAUGCAAGUCGAACGGCAGCACGGGGGCAGCCCUGGUGGCGAGUGGCGAACGGGUGAGUAAUACAUCGGAACGUGCCCGGUCGUGGGGGAUAACGUAGCGAAAGUUACGCUAAUACCGCAUACGAUCUGAGGAUGAAAGCGGGGGACCUUCGGGCCUCGCGCGAUCGGAGCGGCCGAUGUCAGAUUAGGUAGUUGGUGGGGUAAAGGCCUACCAAGCCGACGAUCUGUAGCUGGUCUGAGAGGACGACCAGCCACACUGGGACUGAGACACGGCCCAGACUCCUACGGGAGGCAGCAGUGGGGAAUUUUGGACAAUGGGCGCAAGCCUGAUCCAGCCAUUCCGCGUGCAGGACGAAGGCCUUCGGGUUGUAAACUGCUUUUGUACGGAACGAAAAGGCUCUGCCUAAUACCUGGGGCUCAUGACGGUACCGUAAGAAUAAGCACCGGCUAACUACGUG